Molecule: ribosomal RNA, 263 nt
Filed under: Diversispora sp.
Lineage: Eukaryota; Fungi; Glomeromycota; Glomeromycetes; Diversisporales; Diversisporaceae
Description: partial small subunit ribosomal RNA
Rfam family: Eukaryotic small subunit ribosomal RNA
Source: RNAcentral
UUGGAGGGCAAGUCUGGUGCCAGCAGCCGCGGUAAUUCCAGCUCCAAUAGCGUAUAUUAAAGUUGUUGCAGUUAAAAAGCUCGUAGUUGAACCUCGGGGUCUACCCAUUGGUCAGGCUUAAUUGUCUGCACUGGUGAGAUGGAUCUCUACCUUCUGAGGAACUUUCAUGCCGAUUUAUUGGUGUGAUGGGAAAUCAGGACUGUUACUUUGAAAAAUUAGAGUGUUUAAAGCAGACAUACGCUGAAUACAUUAGCAUGGAAUAA